RNAcentral lists this ribosomal RNA (253 nucleotides) under uncultured bacterium. RNAcentral describes it as "partial 16S ribosomal RNA". It matches the Rfam family "Bacterial small subunit ribosomal RNA", at positions 524 to 776 of the family's 1533-position model. The record is from RNAcentral.
UACGGGGGGGGCAAGCGUUGUUCGGAAUUACUGGGCGUAAAGGGCUCGUAGGUGGCCAACUAAGUCAGACGUGAAAUCCCUCGGCUUAACCGGGGAACUGCGUCUGAUACUGGAUGGCUUGAGUUUGGGAGAGGGACGCGGAAUUCCAGGUGUAGCGGUGAAAUGCGUAGAUAUCUGGAGGAACACCGGUGGCGAAGGCGGCAUUCUGGACUGCAACUGACACUGAAAGACGAAAGCCAGGGGAGCAAACGGG